Molecule: long non-coding RNA, 1350 nt
Filed under: Sus scrofa (pig)
Lineage: Eukaryota; Metazoa; Chordata; Mammalia; Artiodactyla; Suidae
Description: lncRNA (ENSSSCG00070018095.1)
Source: RNAcentral
GAGAGCUUUUACUUAAGCCAGUCCACAGGUAUUCUGGCUGCACCAUUCACAAUGAACGGAUCCGGUUGCAUUGAUUUAUUAAACACAUAUUUAUUGGUGCCUAUAAAAGCGCAGAGAGUCUUCUGGGAGCUGGGAUACAAUGCAUUUGGCAUGCUUUAUGGCCCUGCCUCAUUUUCCCAAGACGGUGGUUAUGUAACAUGAUGGAAGGCACCAAGCCCAGGAGCUGAUCAUAUCCAUGAUCUCCCAACUCCUCAAGAACCUCAUUUGGUAAGAAUUUUUCUUCUGUGUUCUCUUACAGAUAAGGAGCCUGACUCCCAGAGAGCCUCUAGGUCCCAAGGCCAGGAAAAGCAGAGCCUUCUCAGCUCUGAUUUUGCAGCCUCUGUACUCGUUUCACUGCACAUGGACAUUUCAAGAUACCUUCCCAGAUUAGUCACAUAAGAUUCUGAGGAUGUUCUCUCCACAGUCAACUUUGCUCAGGGAGAAGAGAUUUCUGCUCCAUCUCCUGGAGGAAAUAGAAUUGGAGCAACACUUCUGGCUCCCCCUCCAUGGCCCUCACCUACUGCCUGCCCCUCUUCACUUCCAACAAGUAAGGAGGAAGAAUGACUCAUCUGAUUGGUGAGAUCAUGUCCAAGGUCACUGCUUUUGGUGACUCUUCUCUCAGAGUAACUAGCUCAGAAUUUUCUUUGCCUUCUCUACUUUCCCCAAGAUAUAUCCUUGUAUCUGAUUGUGGGGGGUGGGGAUGGUGGUGGAAAAGAAGUUUCCUAUAGAACUUUUUGAACCAAAGAAGAUUUGAGUCAUGUCCUCCAACACAGUAAAUCCCCCUUUAUUUGGGGGCAGGGGAACAAGGUAAGGCUAACUUUGAUCCUCAUCUGAGCCCUGUUUUCAAUUUUGUUGGAACUGGGGGGAGGGGGAAGCAAGGCAUGACAAUAAUUGGCUGUAUGCCUGGCCUGCAGGCCCACUCCUAAUUGGUUCUCCUGGCAGAGGGUUCCUGUUGAGUACUUUUCCUUCAUUCCAGAAAAGUGCUGUCAUCCUCCGUGGUAUCUAUAAGCAGGUAGGAAGGAUAAUAAGGGGAGGCACUGAGGUAAAGAGAGGUAAUUUACAGUGGGAAGGUAUUGUGUGACCCAAAGGUGAAGUGGUAAAAUGCACACGAGAAUGUGUUGAGGAAGUCUGCCUUUCCUGCAUUCUGCCAGUCCCAGGCUAGAGUUCCAGUCCUGCCUCCUUCUAGCUGUGUGACAUUACAAAACUUCCUGGACCUUUCUCAAUUGUCCAAGCUGUAAAAUGGGACAAUUAUAGUGCCUGCCUCAUGAGAUUGUUUUGAGGAUUAAAUAAAUUAUUCUUCAGUGUUAAACA